UGGGGAAUAUUGGACAAUGGGGGCAACCCUGAUCCAGCAAUGCCGCGUGAGUGAAGAAGGCCUUCGGGUUGUAAAGCUCUUUCAGGGGGGAAGAUAAUGACGGUACCCCCAUAAGAAGCCCCGGCUAACUUCGUGCCAGCAGCCGCGGUAAUACGAAGGGGGCAAGCGUUGUUCGGAAUGACUGGGCGUAAAGGGCGUGUAGGCGGUUUAGUAAGUUUGGUGUGAAAUGCCUGGGCUUAACCCAGGAAUGGCAUUGAAGACUGCUAGACUAGAGGACGAGAGAGGAAAAUGGAAUUGCGCGUGUAGAGGUGAAAUUCGUAGAUAUGCGCAAGAACACCAGUGGCGAAGGCGAUUUUCUGGCUCGUAACUGACGCUGAGACGCGAAAGCGUGGGGAGCAAA
RNAcentral lists this ribosomal RNA (400 nucleotides) under uncultured bacterium. Its description in RNAcentral is "bacterial SSU rRNA". It matches the Rfam family "Bacterial small subunit ribosomal RNA", at positions 355 to 772 of the family's 1533-position model. The record is from RNAcentral.